UGGGGAAUCUUGGGCAAUGGGGGAAACCCUGACCCAGCGACGCCGCGUGGGGGACGAAGGCCUUCGGGUCGUAAACCCCUGUUAGGUGGGACGAAUGUCCUUCGGUAAAUAGUCGGAGGAUCUGACGGUACCACCAGAGAAAGCCCCGGCUAACUCCGUGCCAGCAGCCGCGGUAAUACGGAGGGGGCAAGUGUUGUUCGGAAUUACUGGGCGUAAAGGGCGCGCAGGCGGCUUGGCAAGUCGAGUGUGAAAUCCCUUGGCUUAACUGAGGAACUGCGCUCGAAACUACCUCGCUCGAGGGCGGGAGAGGGAAGUGGAACUCUCGGUGUAGGGGUGAAAUCUGUAGAUAUCGAGAGGAACACCGGUGGCGAAGGCGGCUUCCUGGCCCGUACCUGACGCUGAGGCGCGAAAGCGUGGGGAGCAAACAGG
Molecule: ribosomal RNA, 429 nt
Filed under: uncultured bacterium
Lineage: Bacteria
Description: bacterial SSU rRNA
Rfam family: Bacterial small subunit ribosomal RNA
Source: RNAcentral